Molecule: ribosomal RNA, 604 nt
Filed under: uncultured Enterobacter sp.
Lineage: Bacteria; Pseudomonadati; Pseudomonadota; Gammaproteobacteria; Enterobacterales; Enterobacteriaceae
Description: bacterial SSU rRNA
Rfam family: Bacterial small subunit ribosomal RNA
Source: RNAcentral
CCGCGGUAAUACGGAGGGUGCAAGCGUUAAUCGGAAUUACUGGGCGUAAAGCGCACGCAGGCGGUCUGUCAAGUCGGACGUGAAAUCCCCGGGCUCAACCUGGGAACUGCAUUCGAAACUGGCAGGCUAGAGUCUUGUAGAGGGGGGUAGAAUUCCAGGUGUAGCGGUGAAAUGCGUAGAGAUCUGGAGGAAUACCGGUGGCGAAGGCGGCCCCCUGGACAAAGACUGACGCUCAGGUGCGAAAGCGUGGGGAGCAAACAGGAUUAGAUACCCUGGUAGUCCACGCCGUAAACGAUGUCGACUUGGAGGUUGUGCCCUUGAGGCGUGGCUUCCGGAGCUAACGCGUUAAGUCGACCGCCUGGGGAGUACGGCCGCGAGGUUAAAACUCAAAUGAAUUGACGGGGGCCCGCACAAGCGGUGGAGCAUGUGGUUUAAUUCGAUGCAACGCGAAGAACCUUACCUACUCUUGACAUCCAGAGAACUUUCCAGAGAUGGAUUGGUGCCUUCGGGAACUCUGAGACAGGUGCUGCAUGGCUGUCGUCAGCUCGUGUUGUGAAAUGUUGGGUCAAGUCCCGCAACGAGCGCAACCCUUAUCCUUUUGUUG